UCUAAUAUGGCAGAAUAAUGCAGUGAACUUAAGCUUCAAAGAUAAAGAUAUUCUUUUGUUAGAA
This 64-nucleotide transfer RNA is filed under the name Paragavialidium hainanense. Its description in RNAcentral is "tRNA-Leu". The record is from RNAcentral. Lineage: Eukaryota; Metazoa; Arthropoda; Insecta; Orthoptera; Tetrigidae. RNAcentral also lists the same sequence under 1 other name.